RNAcentral lists this ribosomal RNA (477 nucleotides) under Candidatus Scalindua brodae. RNAcentral's name for it is "bacterial SSU rRNA". It matches the Rfam family "Bacterial small subunit ribosomal RNA", at positions 365 to 832 of the family's 1533-position model. The record is from RNAcentral. Lineage: Bacteria; Pseudomonadati; Planctomycetota; Candidatus Brocadiia; Candidatus Brocadiales; Candidatus Scalinduaceae. RNAcentral also lists the same sequence under 1 other name.
UUCGCAAUGCCCGAAAGGGUGACGAAGCGACGCCGCGUGGGUGAGGAGGGCCUUCGGGUUGUAAAGCCCUGUCAGGAGUUAAGAAAUGUAAGUGCGCUAAUAUCGCAUUUAUUUGACGAAGGCUCCAAAGGAAGUCACGGCUAACUCUGUGCCAGCAGCCGCGGUAAUACAGAGGUGGCAAGCGUUGUUCGGAAUUAUUGGGCGUAAAGAGCACGUAGGUGGGUUUGUAAGUCAGAUGUGAAAGCCUUCUGUUCAACGGAAGAAUUGCAUCUGAAACUGCGAGUCUUGAGUGUAGGAGGGGAGAAUGGAACUUCUGGUGGAGCGGUGAAAUGCGUAGAUAUCAGAAGGAACGCCGGCGGCGAAAGCGAUUCUCUGGCCUAUUACUGACACUCAGUGUGCGAAAGCUAGGGGAGCAAACGGGAUUAGAUACCCCGGUAGUCCUAGCCGUAAACGAUGGGCACUAAGUAGAGGGGUUUU